CCUACGGGAGGCAGCAGUGGGGAAUAUUGCACAAUGGGGGAAACCCUGAUGCAGCGACGCCGCGUGAGUGAAGAAGUAAUUCUUUAUGUAAAGCUCUAUCAGCAGGGAAGAAAAUGACGGUACCUGAGUAAGAAGCCCCGGCUAACGACGUGCCAGAAGCCGCGGUAAUACGUAGGGGGCAAGCGUUAUCCGGAUUUACGGGUGGAAAAGGGAGCGUAGACGGUCCUGCAAGCCAGAUGUGAAAGCCCGGGGCUCAACCCCGGGACUGCAUUUGGAACUGGAAGGCUAGAGUGUCGGAGAGGCAGGCGGAAUUCCGGGUGUAGCGGUGAAAUGCGUAGAUAUUAGGAGGAACACCAGUGGCGAAGGCGGCCUGCUGGACGAUGACUGACGUUGAGGUUCGAAAGCGUGGGGAGCAAACAGGAUUAGAUACCCCGGUAGUC
RNAcentral lists this ribosomal RNA (440 nucleotides) under uncultured bacterium. RNAcentral's name for it is "partial 16S ribosomal RNA". It matches the Rfam family "Bacterial small subunit ribosomal RNA", at positions 338 to 795 of the family's 1533-position model. The record is from RNAcentral.